Myripristis murdjan (pinecone soldierfish) is the source of this 557-nucleotide long non-coding RNA. RefSeq lists it as uncharacterized. The transcript is spliced from 3 exons. Lineage: Eukaryota; Metazoa; Chordata; Actinopteri; Holocentriformes; Holocentridae. The record is from RefSeq and is a predicted model, not a curated record.
GAUGUUUUGGUGACGUUUCGCUUUCAUGAUGACGCGGAAAUGGUGCGCCUCAGCCGCUCCGCUUCCUGUCCUCUGUGCGCAGCGAGCGGCGUGUGAAAAUGUUUGCGCGCUGCUUUUUAUAGAAUUUUUUCCUUUGGUGUUUUAUUCGCGUGUAACUACAGUUUGCUGCGCACGUUUUCUCAAAUCUCACGGAAAGCCUUUUGAAUCACCUUGAUCGCUUCGACUGUGAUCAGCUGAGCUGCCGAGUGUGCAGCAGCAGUCUGAAUUUUGUUGCGCCUAUAGCAGAGGAAUUACGGGAAGGACGGCCGCAUGGGGGCUGCACAGAAAAUCAGUCCGCCUUGGCUUUCUCUGGCACAUUUACAUUUUAAACUGUUGGUGAAGGCCAGCCGAGGCUGUGAUGCUGUGACUGCUGCCUCCUGGUCCUGUGAGAGCCGCUGCAGGACGGCCACAGCUGCUGCUCGCUGUCUGCAAAGCUCAGAUGUGGCGACACUGAGCAGUGAUGCCUCAGCAGCUGCUGGUGUGUAAAGAAGAGGUUCCCCCUGAGCAGCAGGAGUGCA